Molecule: ribosomal RNA, 455 nt
Filed under: uncultured bacterium
Lineage: Bacteria
Description: bacterial SSU rRNA
Rfam family: Bacterial small subunit ribosomal RNA
Source: RNAcentral
UACGGGAGGCAGCAGUGGGGAAUAUUGCACAAUGGGCGCAAGCCUGAUGCAGCCAUGCCGCGUGUAUGAAGAAGGCCUUCGGGUUGUAAAGUACUUUCAGUCGUGAGGAAGGUGUUAAGGUUAAUAACCUUAGCAAUUGACGUUAGCGACAGAAGAAGCACCGGCUAACUCCGUGGCCAGCAGCCGCGGUAAUACGGAGGGUGCGAGCGUUAAUCGGAAUUACUGGGCGUAAAGGGCACGCAGGCGGUUAAUUAAGUUGGAUGUGAAAUCCCCGGGCUUAACCUGGGAAUGGCAUUCAAGACUGGUUAGCUAGAGUCUUGUAGAGGGGGUAGAAUUCCAUGUGUAGCGGUGAAAUGCGUAGAGAUGUGGAGGAAUACCGGUGGCGAAGGCGGCCCCUGGACAAAGACUGACGCUCGAUGUGCGAAAGCGUGGGGAGCAAACAGGGAUUAGAUACC